CUCAGGCGAUCCACCCACCUCGGCCUCCCAAAGUGCUGGGAUUGCAGACAUGAGCCACGUGCCUGGCCCAAGAUCUCCUCUUAUCUCAUGUUGUCUAUUACCCAGGACACUUUAAUACCAUAAAUAUGUUUUCUAACCUUAUUGAGUUCUUUUCUAAUUUAACAUCCUUAUUUUCUAUAGUGUUCCAAUUAUGAGCAUCUGUGACUUGCAGAAUUUGUCAGCUUGUUAGAGACAGACAUUUGAUUUAGCAUUCAUUUCCAUUUUUAAGCUUAUCUGUCUUUUUUAUUUGUGUUUGCAGAAUUUUCAAUUUCUCAUCAGUCUCUCUGGGUUACUGUUAACGUCCUAGCAUCUCAUUGUCCAGAUUAUUAAGAAGUUAAGAAAGCUUAGUCAGCAGUAGAUGGUUGACUGUAUUUUGUAAAUAUAAGACUCAGCUAAUCACUCUUUGAAAUUUACAGGGGCAUUAUUUACUUAAUAGUCUUAGUGUGUUUAAUGCCAUCUUUGAGAGACUUCUGUGCACAAUCUCUUAUCAUCUCCAUGUAUUUGUUUCUAGCUGGGUGUUUGAGGUUAGAUAGGCUCACAAGGAGUUUAUAGAAACAAUGAUGCAUCAAAAAUUCACAUCUCAUAAUUAGAGUAAUUUUCAGUACAGCCCAGUCCUGUCCAGAAUCAGGAGACUUGACAGGCCGCAAACCAAAAGGGCAUUUGAAAUACUUACUGCUCAUCCCUCCACCUGCUCCCCCAUGCCGGGGCAGGCGCUGUGGUGAGCGUGUGGAUGGCACAGGCUCUGCGGGUGUCUGACUAGAGAGCCUCAGUUACGUGCUCUCCACCUCAUCACACAGCAGCCCCGUGUAAUAGAAAUCACUUAUUAUGAGGGUUGGCUAAAUAAAGGCACAUUGUGACCGGUCACAAUUCCUAAAUGAAUCCUCCUGACUGAUCUGGUUCUGACACUUUCAAAGCUGCUGUUAUUACUGAACAUGAACAUGUGGAAAGAAUAAAUCAAGACAGAAUGAUAAAAUUCUUAAAUGCUUUUGCUUAAAAUUAUUCAUUCUCUAGUAUGUGUGUAAAUGGGGACACAUACACACACUCCACAUAUACUCUUGCAUACUAAACGGUUCCCUAGGUGCACUUUUAUCAUUUUAUCCCAUCUCACUUUGGUAGUUCCUGUUGUAGUCCUUCUGUAGACUAAUUCUCUAAAUACUUAGAAAAAUAAGAGAGUCUUAUCUGUGUGUAGUCGUGGAUUUUGCUCCCUCUUAAAGCAUUCUCUUUUCUGAGUUCUUAAGUGUUAGAAGUGGGAAAGCCAUCUUUCUUUCAAAUUUAGCAGAUAGCAUUUCUUUGCAUAUGUACUUAAACCAUAUACACACUUACACUGUAAUAGAUACAUCAUGGAAAAGCAAACCAUAGGCUUUUAGCACUGUCAGGCAUGAGCUCUUUCCCUCUCAUCUCCACCUGGAAAGAUGUUUAGGAGAAUGGGAAGCCUCUCUGGGUCUGUAUUUAUAAGCCUUGCUGGAAAAAAAAAAAAGUCGAUUAUUUUUUAGACUCAGAUCACACCAUAAUAAAUGUGAAUAUAAACAAUCACUUAAGUGCUUUCUAAGCACUGGUUCUAUCUAUGAUCCGUCUUCCUUCUUUUAUUUAGUAAAAAGCUAACAAACAAGAAUAGAGUGCCAUUUGCAUGUUUCAUAUUUUUACCCAUUAUGGAGUCCAGUGGUUGAGUAGACUCAUCUGAUAGCCAAGAGAAGCAAACAAAAUUGAUUUCCUGUAGCCCACAGUGAGUUUCCCUAGAUUUAGAGAGCAGGUGAUUCUAAGACGGAUGUGAAAUAAAACUUGCAAGGCUUUGCUAUUGAGAGACCUGGGCAUGCGGCGGAAAAACCAGAUGCCGUCCUUGGGAAAGCGAGGCCUCUCUGCUCCUUGAAUGAGCUGUUUUAGGAUGUUGCUCAUGUGCAAAUAUUGCACUUACCGCGGUGUAAAAUGUCAAGCCAUCACAUCCCUGGGAUAGAAACAAUUAAAGAAGGAUUUGUGUUUGUAAAAACAUGUGCCUAUCAAGGUAAGUGAUUAGGGUACAUGAAAGAAAGAAAAUAUGGAGACGUAAAAAUUGUGGGUUCUGCAAUCAGACCCUCUGGAUUUAAAUCCUACCUCCACUUGCUGAGUGAUAUUGGGCUAGUCAUUGAACCUCUCUGAGCCUCAGCUUUUUUCCCUGUGAAGUGGAGAAACUAAUAGCUAACCAUAGGUUUAUUGUAUUAAAUGAGUUAAUACAUGCAAAACAAUUCACACAUAGUAAGCAUGAAAUAAAUUCUAAUUAUUAUCAUUGUUAUGCACUAAGAAAGGAUUUUUGCAACUAAAGUAUCAAAAGAAGUGAAGAUGCUAAGGAAUUCUUUGGCUUUACAAGAUGAAUUCCAUACAAAAUGAGGCCGUCAGACAACCAGAUUCCAUAUGACAAUGAGAAAGUUCCCGCACAGUACUUCAGGCUUCAUCUAGGGAACAUGUUUAAAGGUUUGGAAUUCCACUGACUCAGACCCUGAUUUGUCAUGGAGGCAGACCUGUCAAGGUCUCAUCAGAGGAGCUGCUAGGGAAGUGGACCAGGAUCACAGCUGCCCAUUCUCUCACCCCACCUAUCUUCUGCAGAGUGGCCCAUUUGUGCUUUAGGAGGAAGAGUGCAGGAGCAGUGGUCAGCAUGCUGUGAACGUUACUUUCUGAGCAUGGGUGGGUCUUGAUAAAUGCUCCUGUCCACUUCAUUCCCUCUUAAUAGACCCAUCAAACAAGCUCUCGUUGUUUUCCAGCGCCAACCUAGGUAAACCAGUCAUUUUGUGCCCCAGCGUGUCAAAGAAAACGCCUGCUUCCCAGAAGUUUCCCAUUAACGGGGAAAGAAGGCUUGUUCACACAGCCUUUUAUUGUAAACCAGCUCAUUCUUUGGCAAUCUGAAACCAAGACUGCACAUUUAGCCAGGCGGGUCUUUUCAAAGCAUGUCCUUUACCAUAGUGUCCAUUGCAUUAUGUCUUCUUUCUUGUUUUGUGUUAUCAUUUUUGUGAUGCUUUAAUGCUCAGUGCACAAACUGAAGCUAUGUGGCAUCCGUAUCAUGGUGUAUUAGGAUUCCAAAAAAACAUGCAAUCCCUGAGCAGACAAUAAACUUGAUUUUGCACAA
Molecule: long non-coding RNA, 3133 nt
Organism: Cebus imitator (Panamanian white-faced capuchin)
Lineage: Eukaryota; Metazoa; Chordata; Mammalia; Primates; Cebidae
Exons: 2
Source: RefSeq, a predicted model, not a curated record